AGGAUAAACGCUGGCGGCGUGCCUAACACAUGCAAGUCGAACGUCCUACGCAAGUAGGGAGUGGCGGACGGGUGAGUAACACGUGGGCAAUCUACCUUUCGGUGAGGAAUACCGGCGAGAAAUCGCCGACAAUACCGCAUACGCUUCGCAAGAAGCAAAGUCGCAAGACGCCGGAGGAGGAGCCUGCGCCCGAUUAGCUGGUUGGUGGAGUAAUGGUCUACCAAGGCGACGAUCGGUAGCUGGUCUGAGAGGAUGAUCAGCCACACUGGGACUGAGACACGGCCCAGACUCCUACGGGAGGCAGCAGUGGGGAAUAUUAGACAAUGGGCGCAAGCCUGAUCCAGCAAUGCCGCGUGGGUGAAGAAGGUCUUCGGAUUGUAAAGCCCUUUCGACGGGGACGAUGAUGACGGUACCCGUAGAAGAAGCCCCGGCUAACUUCGUGCCAGCAGCCGC
Molecule: ribosomal RNA, 453 nt
Filed under: uncultured bacterium
Lineage: Bacteria
Description: SSU rRNA
Rfam family: Bacterial small subunit ribosomal RNA
Source: RNAcentral